Molecule: ribosomal RNA, 430 nt
Filed under: uncultured Chloroflexota bacterium
Lineage: Bacteria; Bacillati; Chloroflexota
Also listed under: 1 other name
Description: bacterial SSU rRNA
Rfam family: Bacterial small subunit ribosomal RNA
Source: RNAcentral
UCGGGAAUUGUUCGCAAUGGGCGCAAGCCUGACGACGCAACGCCGCGUGGAGGACGAAGAUCUUCGGGUCGUAAACUCCUGUCGAGCGGGAAGAACGACCCGCGAGCCAAUACCUCGCGGGUGUGACGGUACCGCUAAAGGAAGCCCCGGCUAACUCCGUGCCAGCAGCCGCGGUAAUACGGGGGGGGCUAGCGUUGUUCGGAUUUACUGGGCGUAAAGGGCUCGUAGGCGGCCGCUUGUGUCGGUUGUGAAAUCCCUCGGCUCAACCGGGGAACUGCGACCGAAACUGAGCGGCUUGAAGCCGGGAGAGGGAUGCGGAAUUUCAGGUGUAGCGGUGAAAUGCGUAGAUAUCUGAAGGAACACCCGUGGCGAAGGCGGCAUCCUGGACCGGUCUUGACGCUGAGGAGCGAAAGCUAGGGUAGCAAACGGG